RNAcentral lists this ribosomal RNA (588 nucleotides) under uncultured bacterium. Its description in RNAcentral is "bacterial SSU rRNA". It matches the Rfam family "Bacterial small subunit ribosomal RNA", at positions 338 to 916 of the family's 1533-position model. The record is from RNAcentral.
CCUACGGGAGGCAGCAGUGAGGAAUCUUGCGCAAUGGGGGAAACCCUGACGCAGCAACGCCGUGUGAGUGAUGAAGGCCUUCGGGUCGUAAAGCUCUGUCAAGUGGGAAGAACCUGACUGAUGCCAAUACCAUCAGUCACUGACGGUACCACUAAAGGAAGCACCGGCUAACUCCGUGCCAGCAGCCGCGGUAAGACGGAGGGUGCCAGCGUUAUUCGGAAUUACUGGGCGUAAAGGGCGCGUAGGCGGCUCUUUAAGUCAGGCGUGAAAGCCCGGGGCUCAACCCCGGAAGUGCGUUUGAAACUGAAGAGCUCGAGUACGGGAGAGGGAAGUGGAAUUCCUGGUGUAGAGGUGAAAUUCGUAGAUAUCAGGAGGAACACCGGUGGCGAAGGCGACUUCCUGGACCGAUACUGACGCUGAUGCGCGAAAGCGUGGGGAGCAAACAGGAUUAGAGACCCUGGUAGUCCACGCCGUAAACGAUGAACACUAGGUGUAGCGGGUAUUGACCCCUGCUGUGCCGAAGCUAACGCAUUAAGUGCCCCGCCUGGGGAGUACGGCCGCAAGGCUAAAACUCAAAGGAAUUGACGG